This 63-nucleotide transfer RNA is filed under the name Tubifex tubifex (sludge worm). Its description in RNAcentral is "tRNA-Ser". The record is from RNAcentral. Lineage: Eukaryota; Metazoa; Annelida; Clitellata; Tubificida; Naididae.
UUCGGAAGCAUGGGACCUUGAACGUCCUCUAUAGAUGUUCGACUCAUCUACAUUCCUGACAAU